GAUGAACGCUGGCGGCGUGCCUAAUACAUGCAAGUCGAGCGAACGGACGAGAAGCUUGCUUCUCUGAUGUUAGCGGCGGACGGGUGAGUAACACGUGGAUAACCUACCUAUAAGACUGGGAUAACUUCGGGAAACCGGAGCUAAUACCGGAUAAUAUUUUGAACCGCAUGGUUCAAAAGUGAAAGACGGUCUUGCUGUCACUUAUAGAUGGAUCCGCGCUGCAUUAGCUAGUUGGUAAGGUAACGGCUUACCAAGGCAACGAUGCAUAGCCGACCUGAGAGGGGGGUAGGGCCACCCGGAAACUGGGCAACGGGCCAGACCCCUACGGGGGGCAGGAAUAGGGAACUUCCCGAAAGGGGGGAAACCCUGACGGAGCAACGCCCGGUGAGUGAUGAAGGUCCGGGGAGCGAAAAACUCUGUUAUUAGGGAAAACAAUAUGUGAAAGAAACUUGCCCCACUUUGGCGGCACCAAAUCAGAAAGCCCCGGCUAACUACGU
RNAcentral lists this ribosomal RNA (497 nucleotides) under uncultured bacterium. RNAcentral's name for it is "partial 16S ribosomal RNA". It matches the Rfam family "Bacterial small subunit ribosomal RNA", at positions 28 to 506 of the family's 1533-position model. The record is from RNAcentral.